GGGCUUAUUAUAGUCCUGCAACAGACACAGAUACCUGAUAUUUUUCUUUUUUUUGUUAGAGCAUUUGAUUUAUUGAUUGCUGUCAGGAUGUAAUGAGAAUUUCAACAAAUAUAACAAAAAAUAUAUUAAGAACAGCAC
Molecule: long non-coding RNA, 138 nt
Organism: Sebastes umbrosus (honeycomb rockfish)
Lineage: Eukaryota; Metazoa; Chordata; Actinopteri; Perciformes; Sebastidae
Exons: 3
Source: RefSeq, a predicted model, not a curated record